UGGAAGAGUAUUUACUAUUGGCGCUGGGGGAACUCGCAAUGAUGGCAAUGUUGAGACCGGUAUGUCUUCUUUGAAUGAUCUUUUUCUGCUUCUGUUUUAUUUGACUCUUGUUUCGAUUUGAGUUAUGUGUCUCUGGGGUUCAAUCGUUAGCUAGGACUGACUCCCACCUCUCUUGUAAAAUAAGCAUGUAGUAGAGUUAACUGCUAGUAAAUCGAUAGAAGCUUCUCAUGUUCUUUUUGGUUGUAAACUUGAUAUCAUGGGUCAAGUGUUCGACCUUGACCUACCACCCGAUACUCUUGUAAGUUUUGACGUGGUCGUUGACACGGAUUUGGGUAUCUAUGCAUCAAGCGGAAAUUCUCUGUAAAGAGAAAAUCGUGCGUAUCCCUCUCCUCAGUGGGGAAUCCUUAUCAGUUCAAGAUCAUCGUAGUGGUGCCAUUGUUGGCAUCGUCUCAGUCAUGAAAGCCCAGAAGUGUCUACGGAAGGGCUACUCUGCUAUGCUAGCUCUUGUCACCGAUUCGCCACUUUAAGAAAGGAAGAUCGAGUAUCUUCCAGUUAUUUGUGAAUUUUCUGACGUGUCUUCGGAAGAGUUACCUGGUUUACUUCCACAUCGUUAGGUGGAAUUUCAGAUUGAACUUAUGCAAAUCCUGAUUUCCUUCUGGGAUACAGCAAUCCCUCGGGUUCGCUGGAUACUAUCACGGAUUCAUCAUGGGAUUUUCGAAGAUUGCGUAACUACAACCUCCUUAGCACAGCUGGGAGCUGUCAAUCCUUGGGAAACAAAGUCGCGGAACGUCUUUUCAGCUUUUGAAACCCAACUCUGCAACGCACUGAGCAUUACUCCUAUCUGAGGGUACUGAUGGUCUGGCGGUAUACCAUGAUGGUUCGAAUCAGAGUCCCGGUUACGCACCGAUACAACAUGAGAAGGCGACGGCUUACGUGGUGGGCAUACAGGAAGGACUACACGAGUCACGACCUGCGGUGGAAGCCAUAGUCUUUGGAUUUAAAUUGGAGGCAUUACUUGGACGGUACCGAAUGCACCACUCAGACCGAUCACAAGGGCCUCCCGUGUAUUCUUGUUUCAAGAGAGCUAAACAUGUGAUGGCAACGCUGGAUGGAACUUUUGAAUGAAUAUGACCGUGAAACCGGGAUGUGCACGAGCUUUGCAGCUUGCUAUUGACUCUAACUUACCUGAUCAGGCUCACUCUGUUCCAACUGGAGAACUGAAGGAAGAGAAUUCUCAAGAUUAACCCAUGCGGGGCAGGGAGAAGCAACCUCUGGCACAUCAGACGAUAUUUGCUACUUCAUGGAACGAAUAUGGACCUUACGAUACAGCAACCUUAGGGAAAUGGUGCAGGCGAAGCACAUGGGCCUCGAUAUCCUAUUCACCUGAGUUUUGAUAGGAUGCAUUGAAACCUGAAGACCAUAUGUGGGUGACCGGGCCUGAAGGCCCAGAUAGCCACGCAUGGGAACGAAGUUUGACAUGUGGGAAAGUCAAGGUAGGGUAUUAGCAACCAGAAACACAUAUAUGGAAAUGAGAACCUAAUCACAGAUCCAGGAUUUAUACUUGAACCCCUUGGGAAGCUGUUAAGCUUAGGAAAUAAUGGAAAUUCGCGGUGGGAGAACGCAUCAUAAUCAAAAGUCUCACCCUGGGAGGGUGCGGUACGCUAUGGGAAAUGUGGCCAGCUUAGAUGCGGUACACUGGGACAUUUGGAUUCUAAAACGGAUUGAUGAUAUGGCUCACGAACUCAAGUUACUUGACGAAUUAGGUAACGCACACGAUGUCGGUUAUGUCUUGAACCUAAAGAAGCGUCUGUUCGAUGCAACACUUGUGAUACCCUUGUUGAGAAACCCACGGUAAACACAGUCGAAUUUCAAUCAUGAGAGAUCGUUGGAACUCAAGACGUGGACUGAAGUUCCUGUGAGAACGCAAUGAUCAGGUGAAGCUCUGUUAUCUCCGAUUGUUCAAACGGUGGGACUAACUUUCGAUAUCAUUGGCGAAUUUCGGGACGAAAUUCCUUUCAAGUUGGGGAUGAUGUGGCACCCAACUGAUCUCGCAAUCCUGUUUUACAAUUUGGUUAACGUGGUGUCUGUGCAAUUAUCUGGAUGCUUAGUGAUUGCGCAUAAUGUUUGAUUAUUAUUUGUGAUUAUUAUUUGUGUAGUAUUGCAUAUAGUUUAAUUAGAGUUUCUAUCGCUUCACUCUUCUGUGCUUACUUGUCAAAUUUCGGGACGAAAUUUCUUUCAAGUUGGGGAUGAUGUGACAACCCGAACUCUCAAUGUUUGUAACGGUUAAUCAGGUGAUCUUUACUAUUCGUUUCUUUGGUAAAUCUGUUAAGCGUGUGUGUUAUUUUGCUAAAUUAACAUAUUAACACCUUUGGGCCGCAAGUUUUUGGGUCACGCACUAACCCUUGGGCCGUCAAAUGCAAUCCGGACCGAAGCCCAAUAGCACCGUAAUCCAAGUGGGCUCGGCCCACUUAUUCAGACUAGAAUUACAUGGAUGGACCUUCCUAUGUAUUUUCUAUGUUAUGAACUAUACUUGAAGCUAAUACUUCUCGGCCCACUUGUUUCAAUUGGAUCUUGGCCCAACUAGUAUACCUAAUAUGAGAACUAGGUGGCUUAUGUUAAUUAGUUCUAUAUAUACAUCAUGUUUGUAUAUCACAAGUUACAACAUAACAAAACCCUAAUCCCCCCCCCGACUCGCGAACAGUAGAAGACCCCCACCCCCCCUUUGAAGAUUAUUGUGCUUGUACAUCUCGUUUCGCUCUUCGGUUAGUAUUACUAUCAUUCGUUUUAAUUCUAUGGGAUUGUGUUAAAUUGUAUGCAUGAAUCUUUUGAUGCUAAAUGUAAACUUGAAUAUGAUUAAUGGUUGUCCGUCUAAUAUGAUGUAUGGAAACAUGAGUUUAUGAUAAAUUGGAUAGGACGACUUAGACGUAGGAUUGAUUUAGGGCUUCUUGUAACGACUAGAUUGUAAUCUGAUUAAUAUGCAGUAGUAACAUGUAAAGUGAUAUGGCGUGAUAGUUGAUUUAUGAUUACAUGUUUGAAACCCUACGACUUGUGUGUUACUAGAGGAUUGUCACGGUACGAAAACGUGAGUCGGUUUGACUGGAAUGAAAAUCAAUGAAGUAAUGUAAUAUCCUGCAUGAAAGAAACAACUUGUUGACGAGUAAUAAAUGAGCCGCACGCUGUGUAUUUGAAAUAGGGCUACACCUUGAGUUGGAACACAUCGAGCCUGCUUUUGUAUGUUAGUAAUGUUUAUGCUAUAGUGAUAAUAAACGAUUAAUACGGAUAUAUUAUUUGCAUGAUGAUUGUGCUUAGUCAAUUGAAUUUGCAAAUUCCCAAGACCCAUGUUGUUAUGUCACUAGUUAUUAGAGGUCCAAUAGUAAUGAAGGAAAAUGAUCUAAUAAUAGUUGCAUAUUUAAUGAUGUUGACUUAAAAAUGGCGGCCCUGUGGUGACCUAAUCAAAUAAUAUAGACUUUUUGAUAAGGAUGUCAGUAAGGAUGUUAGGCAUAUUUAAUGAUGAGAUUGAUUGUUUCUAUAGAAACUAAUAUGUGAGCAUGUAUUGACGUGCAUAGACUGAAGCAUGAUUCUAGGAUUUAUUCAUGAACUGUAUUAGAUUUGGAAAUGUAUUGAUGAAUUGAAUUAUGCUAAGAAUAAGUGGUAUUAUAUAUUGAUCUUGAUCUCAAAAUCGGUUGAAAGAUGGAUUAGGAUUAUAGCACAUCUUAAUGAGUGUCCCUGAUUAAUUAUGUGAUAGUUGUCUGAUGUGGUUAAUAUUGUUGUUAACUGGACUAUGCUUAGUGGGCCGCACAAAAGAAGAGGGGGUAUGGUACGGUUGGGUUGGGUAUAAUCUUGCACAUCCACUUUGUGAUUGUUGAACUAAUAAUACAUAAAUUGGGUUUAGAGGCUAAUGAAUAAACUGUUAACAAUGGGCCGCAUGAAACGGUCCGCGGAAUGGAUCAUACACUCGAGUGGGCUGUAUAUUUCAUUAGACUUGAAUCAUAUGGGCUGCGCAUGUUUAAUGAUUGGGCUUGGAAUGUUUGCGAGUAAACUAUGUAUGUGUGUAUGAAGUGAAAUUGAGCUAUUACGUGUUAUGUUGUUGUUCGGGGACACUAGGUGAGUUGAUUAAUGGUGUCUUGAACUAUAUGAGUACGUUACUUGUACAAUGAGUAUGCUUUAUGGGAACGAUGAAUAUGUGAAUCAACUGCAUAUAUGAUAUGUGGGUCAUGUGCACAUAAAACUAAUUGUUAUCGGUAAUCUUUCUAGGACGUGUUUAUUCAACUAAUAAUCAAAGUACUUAAUCUUACCGAGCAAAUCAAAGGUUGUUAGGUUGUAUGGAUUUGGAACUUGCUGUCUGAAGUAGCUGGAGUGGUCAUGGGUCGUGCUGAUUGGAUACGAAUGAUGGGUUUAUUGAUUUCACACAUUUAAACUGAAACAGUUAAUUAUGUUUUCUUUUAUUUGCUUCCGCUGAACAUGUUGGUUUUCUUUUAGACUUAUUGACAGUACUUUUCAGAAUAAUUGAUGAUUUUAUUCAACAUUA
Molecule: long non-coding RNA, 4528 nt
Organism: Helianthus annuus (common sunflower)
Lineage: Eukaryota; Viridiplantae; Streptophyta; Magnoliopsida; Asterales; Asteraceae
Exons: 2
Source: RefSeq, a predicted model, not a curated record